UUUGCUCGCCAGGGGUCUCCGGAGGCAUCAUCGCCCGCGGAGUGAGAGAUACCCUUCGAACCUGACGCGGUCGAUACCGCCGUAGGGAGGCAGACUACGCCGGCC
This 105-nucleotide non-coding RNA is filed under the name Thiobacillus sp. Its description in RNAcentral is "TPP sequence". It matches the Rfam family "TPP riboswitch aptamer (THI element)". From Rfam's summary of the family: Vitamin B(1) in its active form thiamin pyrophosphate (TPP) is an essential coenzyme that is synthesised by coupling of pyrimidine and thiazole moieties in bacteria. The previously detected thiamin-regulatory element, thi box was extended, resulting in a new, highly conserved RNA secondary structure, the THI element, which is widely distributed in eubacteria and also occurs in some archaea. Lineage: Bacteria; Pseudomonadati; Pseudomonadota; Betaproteobacteria; Nitrosomonadales; Thiobacillaceae. The record is from RNAcentral.